Molecule: signal recognition particle RNA, 307 nt
Filed under: Gossypium arboreum
Lineage: Eukaryota; Viridiplantae; Streptophyta; Magnoliopsida; Malvales; Malvaceae
Description: Plant signal recognition particle RNA
Rfam family: Plant signal recognition particle RNA
Source: Rfam by way of RNAcentral
GCCGAGCUAAGUAACUCUAGCUUGUGACCCCACCCGAGUGGGGGCAGUGAAGUGGCAGAAUGAUGGUUUGAUCCUCUGGGCAGGGUCCACGCAUGCGUAUUCUAGGCUCGCCCGUUCAAAGUUUUGAGUUUGAACCUUGAGUCUUGGGCGAAAGCUCGGGCCUCGUGGUUCUCAGAGGCGAGGGCACUGCGUGAGGCUGGUUUAACAGAGCAGCGAAAACCUCCUACUCAUAGCAGUUGAAGGAUCAUCUUUUUUUUUUUUGUCAUCAAGAAUUCAUCUGCAGGAAAGAAAACUCAGCCAACUAUUU